UGGACAGGUGGUGGCAUGGUUGUCGUCAGCUCGUGUCGUGAGAUGUUGGUUAAGUCCCGCAACGAGCGCAACCCUCGCCUCUAGUUGCCAGCAUUCGGUUGGGCACUCUAGAGGGACUGCCGGCGACAAGUCGGAGGAAGGUGGGGAUGACGUCAAAUCAUCAUGCCCCUUAUGACCUGGGCUACACACGUGCUACAAUGGGCGGUACGAAGGGCUGCGAACCCGCGAGGGGGAGCGAAUCCCAAAAAGCCGCUCUCAGUUCGGAUUGCAGGCUGCAACUCGCCUGCAUGAAGCCGGAAUCGCUAGUAAUCGCGGAUCAGCAUGCCGCGGUGAAUACGUUCCCGGGCCUU
Molecule: ribosomal RNA, 350 nt
Filed under: uncultured Geobacillus sp.
Lineage: Bacteria; Bacillati; Bacillota; Bacilli; Caryophanales; Anoxybacillaceae
Description: bacterial SSU rRNA
Rfam family: Bacterial small subunit ribosomal RNA
Source: RNAcentral